Canis lupus familiaris (dog) is the source of this 632-nucleotide long non-coding RNA. RefSeq lists it as uncharacterized. The record is from RefSeq and is a predicted model, not a curated record. The transcript has 3 exons. NCBI's taxonomy places the organism in Eukaryota, Metazoa, Chordata, Mammalia, Carnivora, Canidae.
AUUGAAGUAGAAUUAGAAAUGUGAGGCCUUUAGGGAUAGUAAAAUUGACUACUUCUAGAGUCAAUGAUAGAAGUCGACUUACAAAAGAUGUUGAGCAACAAAACCCCUUAAGAAUUCUCAGUCAAACCUGGUGACUCCACAUAUAAAUCCUCAGGUGAUACUGCUAUUUUUAAACAAAGCUUAUUGUUUCAUAUGAUUUCAUUGUGGCCACCACAAAACAGAAGCAAAAUGCACACACAUUUUGCAUAACACCCCUAAGAAGGCACCCUGCCAAUGCCUACACACUUGAAAUCAUAAAGGAUCAUGGACAAGAAAGAACCUCCAGAAGCCUUGCCAUUGCCAGGACCUUCCUCUUCUGCCAGGACAGAAAUGCUGCUCAAAAUCUGCCCCAUGGAACUUCAUAAGAAAAGAGUCUUCAGAUCAUGAGGCUUACAAAGAGAGUAUCCAGUCUUUCCAGACCCAGAGAGGAAAGGAAUGUGGUCAAACAGAAGUAGCUCUGCAGUCAUAUGCUGAAAAUGACAAGGAGAAUGCAUUACCAGCCUGCUUCCUGGAAUACUGGAGGAGUCAGAGAAGCCUACCAGCCUGAAAUGUUCACCUCCACAUUCCUACAUGAGACAUUCCUAUUCUCUUCA